UACGGGGGGAGCAAGCGUUGUUCGGAUUUACUGGGCGUAAAGGGCGCGUAGGCGGCGUGACAAGUCACUUGUGAAAUCUCCGGGCUUAACUCGGAACGGUCAAGUGAUACUGUCGUGCUAGAGUACAGAAGGGGCAACUGGAAUUCUCGGUGUAGCGGUGAAAUGCGUAGAUAUCGAGAGGAACACCUGCGGCGAAGGCGGGUUUCUGGGCUGAUACUGACGCUGAGGCGCGAAAGCCAGGGGAGCGAACGGG
RNAcentral lists this ribosomal RNA (253 nucleotides) under uncultured bacterium. Its description in RNAcentral is "partial 16S ribosomal RNA". It matches the Rfam family "Bacterial small subunit ribosomal RNA", at positions 524 to 776 of the family's 1533-position model. The record is from RNAcentral.